This 167-nucleotide long non-coding RNA is filed under the name Chinchilla lanigera (long-tailed chinchilla). RNAcentral describes it as "lncRNA (ENSCLAG00000026896.1)". The record is from RNAcentral. Lineage: Eukaryota; Metazoa; Chordata; Mammalia; Rodentia; Chinchillidae.
UAGCCACUCAAGCUCUCAUAAAAACAAACACUUCCUAGUAUGAGAAAGAUGAGUUGGACACGAAGCAAGGAUCCCUGUAAGAAGAGCUUGUAAGCAAAUUAAUGACUGUAAAAUAAUUUAGUAGCACUGGAAAAAAAUGAAGAGGAGAGCCUACAUGAACAAAAAUG